Molecule: non-coding RNA, 96 nt
Filed under: Triticum aestivum (bread wheat)
Lineage: Eukaryota; Viridiplantae; Streptophyta; Magnoliopsida; Poales; Poaceae
Also listed under: 1 other name
Description: Bacterial small subunit ribosomal RNA
Rfam family: Bacterial small subunit ribosomal RNA
Source: Rfam by way of RNAcentral
AUGGGUGGGCGAAAGGGUUGAGAUCUUGUGAGGGUGAUCUAACUCCAGAAACCCAUCCUCAGUUUGGAUUGCAGGCUGCAACUCGGCUGCAUGAAG